This 253-nucleotide ribosomal RNA is filed under the name uncultured bacterium. Its description in RNAcentral is "partial 16S ribosomal RNA". It matches the Rfam family "Bacterial small subunit ribosomal RNA", at positions 524 to 776 of the family's 1533-position model. The record is from RNAcentral.
UACGUAGGAUGCAAGCGUUGUCCGGAAUUACUGGGCGUAAAGGGCGAGCAGGUGGCAAGUCAAGUCUGAUGUAAAAUCCCUCAGCUCAACUGAGGACGUGCAUCCGAAACUGGCGAGCUUGAGUGCUGAAGAGGAUCGCGGAAUUCCCGGUGUAGAGGUGAAAUUCGUAGAUAUCGGGAGGAACACCAGUGGCGAAGGCGGCGAUCUGGGCAGACACUGACGCUGAGGUGCGAAAGCGUGGGGAGCAAACAGG